GUGCCAGCCGCCGCGGUAAUACGUAGGGGGCGAGCGUUGUCCGGAAUUAUUGGGCGUAAAGGGCGCGCAGGCGGUCUCAUAAGUCUGAUGUGACAUCUCGCGGCUCAACCGCGAGCGGUCAUUGGAAACUGGGAGACUUGAGUACAGAAGAGGAGAGUGGAAUUCCACGUGUAGCGGUGAAAUGCGUAGAGAUGUGGAGGAACACCAGUGGCGAAGGCGACUCUCUGGUCUGUUACUGACGCUGAGGCGCGAAAGCGUGGGUAGCGAACAGGAUUAGAUACCCCCGUAGUCC
Molecule: ribosomal RNA, 292 nt
Filed under: uncultured prokaryote
Description: partial 16S ribosomal RNA
Rfam family: Bacterial small subunit ribosomal RNA
Source: RNAcentral